Molecule: ribosomal RNA, 433 nt
Filed under: uncultured bacterium
Lineage: Bacteria
Description: partial 16S ribosomal RNA
Rfam family: Bacterial small subunit ribosomal RNA
Source: RNAcentral
AACGAACGCUGGCGGCAUGCCUAACACAUGCAAGUCGAACGAGACCUUCGGGUCUAGUGGCGCACGGGUGCGUAACGCGUGGGAACCUGCCCUUAGGUUCGGAAUAACUCCCCGAAAGGGGUGCUAAUACCGGAUAAUGUCUUCGGACCAAAGAUUUAUCGCCUUUGGAUGGGCCCGCGUUGGAUUAGCCAGUUGGUAGGGUAAAAGCCUACCAAGGCGACGAUCCAUAGCUGGUCUGAGAGGAUGAUCAGCCACACUGGAACUGAGACACGGCCCAGACUCCUACGGAGGGCAGCAGUAGGGAGUAUUAGACAAGGAGCGAAAGCCUAAUCCAGCAAUGCCGCGUGAGUGAUGAAGGCCUUAGGGUUGUAAAGCUCUUUUACCCGGGAUGAUAAUGACAGUACCGGGAGAAUAAGCACCGGCUAACUCCGUG